This 58-nucleotide transfer RNA is filed under the name Loxodonta africana (African savanna elephant). It matches the Rfam family "tRNA", at positions 8 to 63 of the family's 71-position model. From Rfam's summary of the family: Transfer RNA (tRNA) molecules are approximately 80 nucleotides in length. Their secondary structure includes four short double-helical elements and three loops (D, anti-codon, and T loops). Lineage: Eukaryota; Metazoa; Chordata; Mammalia; Proboscidea; Elephantidae. The record is from Rfam by way of RNAcentral.
UGGCAUAGCGGUUAAGUGCUGUGGCUGUUAAUCACAAGGUCGGCAGUUCAAAUCUGCC